GCCCCGGUAGCUCAGCCGGUGGAGCGCCGCCUUGGUAAGGCGGAGGUCGCGGGUUCGAAUCCCGCCCGGGGCU
The sequence is a transfer RNA, 73 nucleotides long. It matches the Rfam family "tRNA". Rfam says of the family: Transfer RNA (tRNA) molecules are approximately 80 nucleotides in length.